UGGCACCCGAACAGGGACCUGGAAACGAGGGACUCCGUGAGGAAGAGGACGCCAAAGGACGGUCGACCGCUAACGAAGACAAAAGGAGUCAAACUCUUCCGAUCACCGCGGGAACCUGCCGCGUCAGAAUCGAAGGUAAGUGACGCGUCCGAAAUGGGACAAGAAUUAAGCCAACAUCAAAUAUAUGUAGGCCAAUUAAAAGAGGCUUUAAAGAUACGAGGAGUAAAGGUUAAAGGUAAUGAUUUGUUUAAAUUUUUUGAUUUUGUAAAAGACACUUGCCCUU
Molecule: non-coding RNA, 283 nt
Organism: Macaca mulatta (Rhesus monkey)
Lineage: Eukaryota; Metazoa; Chordata; Mammalia; Primates; Cercopithecidae
Source: Rfam